UACGGAGGGAGCUAGCGUUGUUCGGAAUUACUGGGCGUAAAGCGCGCGUAGGCGGCUUUGUAAGUUAGAGGUGAAAGCCUGGGGCUCAACUCCAGAAUUGCCUUUAAGACUGCAUCGCUUGAAUCAUGGAGAGGCGGGUGGAAUUCCGAGUGUAGAGGUGAAAUUCGUAGAUAUUCGGAAGAACACCAGUGGCGAAGGCGGCCCGCUGGACAUGUAUUGACGCUGAGGUGCGAAAGCGUGGGGAGCAAACAGG
RNAcentral lists this ribosomal RNA (253 nucleotides) under uncultured bacterium. Its description in RNAcentral is "partial 16S ribosomal RNA". It matches the Rfam family "Bacterial small subunit ribosomal RNA", at positions 524 to 776 of the family's 1533-position model. The record is from RNAcentral.